CUGGUUCAGGUCGAACGCUUCUUUUGCAAACUAUGCAGUAGCCAGACUUCACCCACACACACCACGACGUGCUCUACGAGUGUCGCUGGCUGAUUAAGACAUGGUCAGGAAGAUCUUCACAGCUUUUCCCUUCUAGGUCUGCCACCCCAGGCUUCAUAUCUUUUGGCGACCUCAACACCAUCUCGUGGCUACGAGAUCUCUUGGCAGAUAUAUGGCCUCAAAGAUUCGGGUACGAUACUAUGGAAAAAGGCCUCAUCGACAUCUUUUAACCGAGUCAAUAUUGACUCAAACAGAGCCUCAUCUUGUGAGUGUAACAUACAUUCUCUAUCUUCCCCUUCCCAUACCACCGCUACCUACAAGACAGUGCCCGAUGCUCCUUUCAUGAGUAAUCGGGCGAUUCCGGUUAAGCGAAGAAGAACGUUACAUCACAUUUAGAGCCUGCUUCCUCUACUCUUCAAUGUCGCUACAUACGUGUAUGCGAGCGCCAAUUUAUUCAUGUGCUGAGCCCCUUUUGGGCGGCCAUGGGUGCGGUGCGAGUAGUGGGGAGGGAGGUGUCAUAUUGAUGUCAUAUUCCUAUCCUUCUGUCAUAUUUCGAUCUUUCCAUGUCAUUGCUUCAUAAUAGUCACUUUUAUAUUUUAUGAAGACCAUGCACCCAUGAUCAAUCGUCC
Molecule: small RNA, 668 nt
Filed under: Cryptococcus neoformans H99
Lineage: Eukaryota; Fungi; Basidiomycota; Tremellomycetes; Tremellales; Cryptococcaceae
Description: Cryptococcus neoformans var. grubii H99 hypothetical RNA
Source: RNAcentral